GAGGGUAGAGCUCAGUGGCAGAGAGCAUGCCUAGCACGCAGGAGGUCCCGGGUUCAAUUCCCAGUACUUCCA
This 72-nucleotide transfer RNA is filed under the name Camelus bactrianus (Bactrian camel). It matches the Rfam family "tRNA". Rfam says of the family: Transfer RNA (tRNA) molecules are approximately 80 nucleotides in length. Their secondary structure includes four short double-helical elements and three loops (D, anti-codon, and T loops). RNAcentral also lists the same sequence under 2 other names. Lineage: Eukaryota; Metazoa; Chordata; Mammalia; Artiodactyla; Camelidae. The record is from Rfam by way of RNAcentral.